Polyodon spathula (Mississippi paddlefish) is the source of this 286-nucleotide long non-coding RNA. RefSeq lists it as uncharacterized. Lineage: Eukaryota; Metazoa; Chordata; Actinopteri; Acipenseriformes; Polyodontidae. The record is from RefSeq and is a predicted model, not a curated record. The transcript is spliced from 3 exons.
UCCAGCUCUGUACCUGGGUGCAGGGGUAGGAUCUGGGCUCCUUGUGCUGCUGUUACUGUUGAUAGGAGGAGUGCUGAAGUGUCUGCAAUCCAAACGAGACCCUGCUGUCCAGAUUGAACCUAUGUAUGCCACAGUGAAUAAGUCCAAGCAGCCUUCAAAGCAACCGGACGACACCCUCACCUACUCAGAAAUAAACACUGCCCGUGUCACCAAGAAGAAACCCAGAUCUGCACCUGAAGACAAUAUAACAUACGCAACAGUUAAAACUGCCAGAUACUGAGAACCA